Molecule: ribosomal RNA, 497 nt
Filed under: uncultured bacterium
Lineage: Bacteria
Description: partial 16S ribosomal RNA
Rfam family: Bacterial small subunit ribosomal RNA
Source: RNAcentral
GAUGAACGCUGACGGCGUGCCUAAUACAUGCGAGUCGAGCGAACGGACGAGAAGCUUGCUUCUCUGAUGUUAGCGGCGGACGGGUGAGUAACACGUGGAUAACCUACCUAUAAGACUGGGAUAACUUCGGGAAACCGGAGCUAAUACCGGAUAAUAUUUUGAACCGCAUGGUUCAAAAGUGAAAGACGGUCUUGCUGUCACUUAUAGAUGGAUCCGCGCUGCAUUAGCUAGUUGGUAAGGUAACGGCUUACCAAGGCAACGAUGCAUAGCCGACCUGAGAGGGUGAUCGGCCACACUGGAACUGAGACACGGUCCAGACUCCUACGGGAGGCAGCAGUAGGGAAUCUGCCGCAAUGGGCGAAAGCCUGACGGAGCAACGCCGCGUGAGUGAUGAAGGUCUUCGGAUCGUAAAACUCUGUUAUUAGGGAAGAACAUAUGUGUAAGUAACUGUGCACAUCUUGACGGUACCGAAUCAGAAAGCCACGGCUAACUACGUG